GAUGAACGCUAGCUACAGGCUUAACACAUGCAAGUCGAGGGCAGCAUGAACUUAGCUUGCUAAGUUUGAUGGCGACCGGCGCACGGGUGAGUAACACGUAUCCAACCUUCCGUUUACUCAGGGAUAGCCUUUCGAAAGAAAGAUUAAUACCUGAUAGUAUGGUGAGAUUGCAUGAUAACACCAUUAAAGAUUUAUUGGUAAACGAUGGGGAUGCGUUCCAUUAGGUAGUAGGCGGGGUAACGGCCCACCUAGCCUGCGAUGGAUAGGGGUUCUGAGAGGAAGGUCCCCCACAUUGGGACUGAGACACGGUCCAAACUCCUACGGGAGGCAGCAGUGAGGAAUAUUGGUCAAUGGGCGAGAGCCUGAACCAGCCAAGUAGCGUGAAGGAUGAAGGUCCUACGGAUUGUAAACUUCUUUUAUACGGGAAUAAAGUUUCCUACGUGUAGGAUUUUGUAUGUACCGUAUGAAUAAGCAUCGGCUAACUCCGUG
RNAcentral lists this ribosomal RNA (489 nucleotides) under uncultured bacterium. RNAcentral describes it as "bacterial SSU rRNA". It matches the Rfam family "Bacterial small subunit ribosomal RNA", at positions 28 to 507 of the family's 1533-position model. The record is from RNAcentral.